RNAcentral lists this ribosomal RNA (253 nucleotides) under uncultured bacterium. RNAcentral describes it as "partial 16S ribosomal RNA". It matches the Rfam family "Archaeal small subunit ribosomal RNA", at positions 474 to 727 of the family's 1478-position model. The record is from RNAcentral.
UACCAGCACCCCGAGUGGUCGGGACGUUUAUUGGGCCUAAAGCAUCCGUAGCCGGUUCUGCAAGUCUUCCGUUAAAUCCAGCUGCUCAACAGAUGGGCCGCGGAGGAUACUACAGAGCUAGGAGGCAGGAGAGGCAAGCGGUACUCAGUGGGUAGGGGUAAAAUCCGUUGAUCCAUUGAAGACCACCAGUGGCGAAGGCGGCUUGCCAGAAUGCGCUCGACGGUGAGGGAUGAAAGCUGGGGGAGCAAACAGG